UACGAAGGUGGCAAGCGUUGUUCGGAUUUACUGGGCGUACAGGGAGCGUAGGCGGUUGGAUAAGCCCUCCGUGAAAUCUCCAGGCUUAACCUGGAAAGUGCAGAGGGGACUGUUCAGCUAGAGGAUGGGAGAGGAGCGCGGAAUUCCCGGUGUAGCGGUGAAAUGCGCAGAUAUCAGGAGGAACACCGGUGGCGAAGGCGGGUCUCUGGGCCGAAAUUGACGCUGAGGAGCGAAAGCGUGGGGAGCAAACAGG
This 253-nucleotide ribosomal RNA is filed under the name uncultured bacterium. RNAcentral's name for it is "partial 16S ribosomal RNA". It matches the Rfam family "Bacterial small subunit ribosomal RNA", at positions 524 to 776 of the family's 1533-position model. The record is from RNAcentral.